RNAcentral lists this long non-coding RNA (1981 nucleotides) under Helianthus annuus (common sunflower). Its description in RNAcentral is "hypothetical non coding rna". The record is from RNAcentral. Lineage: Eukaryota; Viridiplantae; Streptophyta; Magnoliopsida; Asterales; Asteraceae.
UUCAUCUAAACUUUUAAUCAUUUAAUAACUGUUCACACCUCUUACCAGUUCCCGGUUCCAAUUCGAGAAGAUCAGAUCGACUAUGUGAAUCCCUUUUAUCUAUGUGAUUAGCGUUAGUUUCUCAAACAUGUAUGUGUCAUUUUCUGUUCCCUCCGUACCAGAGAUGAGUUCAGUUUCCAAAUUGUCGAUUAUAAGAGUUUUAGAUCUGCAGAAUUGAGUUCGAGUGAAGCAGAUCUGAGGUGAAUUUCCGGUGAUCCCGCCUCGUAUUGCGACCAGAAAAGGUAAAACCUAGUUUUUUAUUACUCUUUCAGUUCAUAUCUUAUGCUUUGUUUGAACUCCAAACUAGGGUUUCGUAUUGGGGGAAUUCGAACAUAUUGAAUUAUCACGUUGUUGAAUAGGGUUCUCUUAAUGAAAGCAAAUAAAUUCUUAGUUUUCAGAAUUAAUUUCCUUGAAUGUUAUUUAACUUUGGUUUAAAACUGAACUUGAUUUGGUUUGUUCAGUGAUUCAGGGUUAUUUUAGGUCUGAAUGAAAUAUUGUUAUAGAAUUGGAAGGUUUUGAUUUCUGAUUUGUUUAGUAAACCUUAAUGUUGUUUGAUUAAUGGAAAAGAAUUGAUGAUAUCAACAUCUGCUUGUGAGAAGUUGAUUAAAUACAGUUAGACAAGAAAGGUGUAUAUGGCCAUUGCCUUUAGGAUAACAUAUUGAUUAAUGUUCUCUUUUGUGAUAUUGGUACUACAAAGGUGUAUAUAGCCAUUGCCUUUAGCAAUAACAAACAGUCCAGGUAACUUGAAAAUGUGGUUCUUCUAAAGAUUUUGAAAAUAAGUUGAUGGGGUGUAUUAUACAAAUGUGGAUGUACACAUGCUAUUAGUGUCAGCAUAUGAUAGUCAUGAGUAUGAAUUACGGUUCUGUUUGAGUGUCAAAACUGCUGAUAGUUAGACAUCGCAUUUACAUGGUUCGAUAGGCAUAAUGAAGGUUAACAUUUUUUAUACAUGGACCCUUUGAAAUCGUCAACCAACACAACGUUGUCUUUUUUGGUUGUUUUUCUUAAUUUAUCAGAUAAUCAGAGUUUCUCAAACACUUGAAUAACCUAUAGGGGUGUAACCAAGCCGAGCCCGAGCCCGACUAGGUUGAGCUCGGCUCGUCAUGUUUUUAUGAAACUCGAACUUAAGCUCAACUCUGUUCGAGCCUGCUUAUUGGGAUUAAGGGUGUAAACGAGCUAAUAACAAAUGUCAUAGGAAAAACAUAUAUACGUGACCAAAAGUUAGAAAAUAGCAACACUUGCAAUAAAUUCAUGUGACCAUGUAAUAGAACCGGCCAUACUUACAAUAAAUUCAUGUGGCCGUUGCUACCUUUUAGCCAUACUUAAUAGACAAAAUGUUUGAUUACAACUCUUUUUGUCACACUUUUAUUUAAUUGAUGUGGCUAAAACAUACUUUUUAGUAAAUAUAUGUGACUAUAUAAUACAAAGAGACACACUUUGAUUAAAUUUAUGUGGCUAUUGCAACCCUUUAGCCACACUUAAUUGAGGAAAUGCUAGAUUUUAACCAAAAAUGUUGUUACCCUUUAGCCACACUUUUAAGUUCUAAAGCCACUAAAAAGUGUAUGUGACCAUAUGAUACCUACGAUGACUCGAGCUUUGGUCACACUUGAUAUGAAAAAAAUAUGUGUGGCGAAAGACAUAUAGUCACACUUUUUUGGUGUGGCUGUAUCCCUAUUUUGGCGUAGUGUCUGCGCUCGACGUUCGUUCGAUGCUCGCUCGAAAAAUGCUCGGAAUUUGCUCGUUCGAUUCAGCUUGAUUGAAAAAAAUGCUUGGUUUGGAUCGGUUCGGUUUGUAAAUGAACAGAGCACGAGCAAAGGUCUGCUCACUUCGGUUCGACUCGGUUGGCUCGAUUUAUUUUCAAAUAUGUAUAUAUAUUUUUGUGUGUAUCAUUUUUAAUGAAAUGACUGUAGACUAACAUCAACAACGUUUGGUCCAAAAUCCAAAU